This is a long non-coding RNA of Etheostoma spectabile (orangethroat darter), 127 nucleotides long. RefSeq lists it as uncharacterized. The transcript has 3 exons. Lineage: Eukaryota; Metazoa; Chordata; Actinopteri; Perciformes; Percidae. The record is from RefSeq and is a predicted model, not a curated record.
CGUUAAGUGUCUUGCUCAGGGACAUUGGUUAAGGUAUUGCAGUGGGAAUGUAACCCAGAUCUCCCACACCAAAGGCAUGUAUCAUAUCCACUGUGCCAUCACCACCCACUUGCUUCAACUAUGUGCU